UCGAGCGAAGCGAGAGAACGUUGCCGCAGGCAAUGGCCCGAAGGCGAGGCGCUUUAGCGCCGAGUAAUCCUUACCCCACCACUG
This 84-nucleotide small RNA is filed under the name Klebsiella pneumoniae. RNAcentral's name for it is "partial RtT sRNA". It matches the Rfam family "RtT RNA", at positions 48 to 130 of the family's 130-position model. Rfam says of the family: This family represents a bacterial cis-regulatory element known as RtT RNA. The exact function of RtT is unknown although it is thought that it may be involved in changing the cellular response in relation to amino acid starvation. Lineage: Bacteria; Pseudomonadati; Pseudomonadota; Gammaproteobacteria; Enterobacterales; Enterobacteriaceae. The record is from RNAcentral.